AUUGAACGCUGGCGGCAGGCCUAACACAUGCGAGUCGAACGGUAACAGGAAGAAGCUUGCUUCUUUGCUGACGAGUGGCGGACGGGUGAGUAAUGUCUGGGAAACUGCCUGAUGGAGGGGGAUAACUACUGGAAACGGUAGCUAAUACCGCAUAACGUCGCAAGACCAAAGAGGGGGACCUUCGGGCCUCUUGCCAUCGGAUGUGCCCAGAUGGGAUUAGCUAGUAGGUGGGGUAACGGCUCACCUAGGCGACGAUCCCUAGCUGGUCUGAGAGGAUGACCAGCCACACUGGAACUGAGACACGGUCCAGACUCCUACGGGAGGCAGCAGUGGGGAAUAUUGCACAAUGGGCGCUAGCCUGAUGCAGCCAUGCCGCGUGUAUGAAGAAGGCCUUCGGGUUGUAAAGUACUUUCAGCGGGGAGGAAGGGAGUAAAGUUAAUACCUUUGCUCAUUGACGUUACCCGCAGAAGAAGCACCGGCUAACUCCGUG
This 490-nucleotide ribosomal RNA is filed under the name uncultured bacterium. RNAcentral's name for it is "partial 16S ribosomal RNA". It matches the Rfam family "Bacterial small subunit ribosomal RNA", at positions 30 to 507 of the family's 1533-position model. The record is from RNAcentral.